AUUGAACGCUGGCGGCAGGCCUAACACAUGCAAGUCGAGCGGAUGAAGGGAGCUUGCUCCUGGAUUCAGCGGCGGACGGGUGAGUAAUGCCUAGGAAUCUGCCUGGUCGUGGGGGAUAACGUCCUGAAACGGGCGCUAAUACCGCAUACGUCCUGAGGGAGAAAGUGGGGGAUCUUCGGACCUCACGCUAUCAGAUGAGCCUAGGUCGGAUUAGCUAGUUGGUGGGGUAAAGGCCUACCAAGGCGACGAUCCGUAACUGGUCUGAGAGGAUGAUCAGUCACACUGGAACUGAGACACGGUCCAGACUCCUACGGGAGGCAGCAGUGGGGAAUAUUGGACAAUGGGCGAAGGCCUGAUCCAGCCAUGCCGCGUGUGUGAAGAAGGUCUUCGGAUUGUAAAGCACUUUAAGUUGGGAGGAAGGGCAGUAAGUUAAUACCUUGCUGUUUUGACGUUACCAACAGAAUAAGCACCGGCUAACUUCGUG
This 484-nucleotide ribosomal RNA is filed under the name uncultured bacterium. RNAcentral describes it as "partial 16S ribosomal RNA". It matches the Rfam family "Bacterial small subunit ribosomal RNA", at positions 30 to 507 of the family's 1533-position model. The record is from RNAcentral.